This 504-nucleotide ribosomal RNA is filed under the name uncultured bacterium. RNAcentral describes it as "partial 16S ribosomal RNA". It matches the Rfam family "Bacterial small subunit ribosomal RNA", at positions 30 to 523 of the family's 1533-position model. The record is from RNAcentral.
AUUGAACGCUGGCGGCAGGCCUAACACAUGCAAGUCGAACGGUAGCACAGAGAGCCUGCUCUUGGGUGACGAGUGGCGGACGGGUGAGUAAUGUCUGGGAAACUGCCCGAUGGAGGGGGAUAACUACUGGAAACGGUAGCUAAUACCGCAUAACGUCGCAAGACCAAAGUGGGGGACCUUCGGGCCUCACACCAUCGGAUGUGCCCAGAUGGGAUUAGCUAGUAGGUGGGGUAAUGGCUCACCUAGGCGACGAUCCCUAGCUGGUCUGAGAGGAUGAACAGCCACACUGGAACUGAGAAACGGUCCAGACUCCUACGGGGGGCAGCAGUGGGGAAUAUUGCACAAUGGGCGCAAGCCUGAUGCAGCCAUGCCGCGUGUAUGAAGAAGGCCUUCGGGUUGUAAAGUACUUUCAGCGAGGAGGAAGGCAUUAAGGUUAAUAACCUUAGUGAUUGACGUUACUCGCAGAAGAAGCACCGGCUAACUCCGUGCCAGCCGCCGCCGUAA